Molecule: non-coding RNA, 115 nt
Organism: Triticum aestivum (bread wheat)
Lineage: Eukaryota; Viridiplantae; Streptophyta; Magnoliopsida; Poales; Poaceae
Source: Rfam
UUUGUACUUCCUCCGUUCGGAAUUACUUGUCACAAAAAUGAAUGUAUCUACAACUAAGAUACAUCUAGAUACAUUCAGUUUUCGGACGAGUAAUUCCGAACGGAGGGAGUAGAUC